UACGUAGGUGGCAAGCGUUGUCCGGAUUUACUGGGCGUAAAGAGCGCGCAGGCGGUCGUUCAAGUCGCGUGUGAAAGCCCCCGGCUCAACUGGGGAGGGUCACGCGAUACUGAUCGACUCGAAGGCAGGGGAGGGUAGUGGAAUUCCCGGUGUAGUGGUGAAAUGCGUAGAUAUCAGGAAGAACACCAAUGGCGAAAGCAGCUUUCUGGGACGGUACUGACGCUGAGACGCGAAAGCGUGGGGAGCGAACAGG
This 253-nucleotide ribosomal RNA is filed under the name uncultured bacterium. Its description in RNAcentral is "partial 16S ribosomal RNA". It matches the Rfam family "Bacterial small subunit ribosomal RNA", at positions 524 to 776 of the family's 1533-position model. The record is from RNAcentral.